UACGUAGGGUGCGAGCGUUAAUCGGAAUUACUGGGCGUAAAGCGUGCGCAGGCGGUCUGUUAAGACCGAUGUGAAAUCCCCGGGCUUAACCUGGGAACUGCAUUGGUGACUGCACGGCUAGAGUGUGUCAGAGGGGGGUAGAAUUCCACGUGUAGCAGUGAAAUGCGUAGAGAUGUGGAGGAAUACCGAUGGCGAAGGCAGCCCCCUGGGAUAACACUGACGCUCAUGCACGAAAGCGUGGGGAGCAAACAGG
This 253-nucleotide ribosomal RNA is filed under the name uncultured bacterium. RNAcentral describes it as "partial 16S ribosomal RNA". It matches the Rfam family "Bacterial small subunit ribosomal RNA", at positions 524 to 776 of the family's 1533-position model. The record is from RNAcentral.